CGGAUUGCUUCCCUCGCAAAUUGC
This 24-nucleotide non-coding RNA is filed under the name Arabidopsis thaliana (thale cress). Lineage: Eukaryota; Viridiplantae; Streptophyta; Magnoliopsida; Brassicales; Brassicaceae. The record is from RNAcentral.